GUUGUAUAAUGCUAUAACCUGAAAAGAACAAAUACAUAUUAUUUUUCAUAUCAAUGGAAAAUUCACAGGAAUUGAUAACAUCUUAGAUUGUAAAAACAGUCUUAAUUAAGCAAAUCAGAAGUAGUAUAGAAAACAUUGCUGUACUGAAGGUAUACUAAUAAUGCACUGAAAAAUAUAUUAAUAACAAAAUUAAAAAGUAAGAUUCCUACCACUUUGAUAUUAAAAGAUAAAAAUCCUCUCUAUAACACUUUUAUUAAAAAGUAAUUCUAAAAUAAAACAUUGUAGUAAUUAUAGAAAAUUAACAUAAUGAAAAUGCUGAAUAUCCAGAUUAGUGAAAUAGAGGUAGCAGUGCUCAGAAAUAUAUUCAUAGACCAAAACUAUCUUCUAUUAGUAAAAAAGAAGUUAAACGAAAUAAGCAUAUAAUUUAUGGAAACAUGGACCUAUGAAAACCAAACAUUAAUAAAGGUAACACUGGAAAAAGGUGAAUCAAAAAAAUAAAAAGCAAAACAGUAAAAAACUUCAUAAGAAAAGAAAUCUCAGAGCUAAGUGGGUGUUUGUUUGUUUUUGUUUUUGAGAUGGAGUCUCCCAUUGUCACUCAGUCUGGAGUGCAGUGGCGCCAUCUCAGCUCACUGCAACCCCCGCCACCACGACCGGCUAAUUUCUGUAUUUUUAGUAGAGACAGGCUUUCACUCUUUUGAGCAGGCUUGUCCAGAACUCCUGACCUCAGGUGAUAUCCACCUGCCUUGGGCUCCCAAAGUGCUGAAAUUACAGGCGUGAGCCACAGCACCUAGCUGCUAAGUGUUUUCUUUUUUCUUUUUUUUUUUCUUUUUCUUGAGACAGAGUCUCGCUCUGUCACACAGGCUGGAGUGCAAUGGCAUGAUAGCUCACUGCAAGCUCUGCCUCCCUGGUUGAAAUGAUUCUGCCUCAGCCUCCCAAGUACCUGGGGUUACAGGCACAUACCACUACUCCUGGCUAAUUUUUGUAUUUUUGUAGAGAUGGGUUUCACCAUGUUGUCCUGGCUGGUCUUGAACUCCUGACCUCGUGAUCCACCUGCCUCAGCCUUCCAAAGUGCUGGGAUUACAGGCAUGAGCCACCAUGCCUGGCAUAUGUGUUUUUUUAAAGAAAAAAAAAAUUGGCUAACCCAACAGAGAAAAAUUGAAUAUAUGUUAAUUUAAUAGUGGUAAUCAUCACACAAUGUCUAUGUAUAUCAAAUAAAAGAUGAAAAAGCAAAAAGAAAAAUGGAAAACGGCAAUAAAUCCGAAAAGAAAGAAAAUGGAAGGAAGGAAGGGAAGGGAAAUGAACGAAAGGGAUUAAAGGCAGGAAGGAAGGAAGGGACGAAGGGACAAGAGCAAAAUAAUAUAAACAAGGAUGAAAAUGGCACAAAUUAUGUUCAAUCAUAUAAAAAUAAAUGUGAAAUAUGAAUUUGAGGAGAAAACAUAGUUAUCUGUGGAUUGUCAUAACAGCAUUUGAUAGAAUUUUUUGUAAGGCAGAAGUAAAUGGCUAAUUCUAAUGUAUGAUUAAAAUGUAUAUUAGGCCGGGUGCGGUGGCUCACGCCUGUAAUCCCAGCACUUUGGGAGGCCGAGGCGGGAGGAUCACCUGAGCCCUAGAGUUUGAG
This 1615-nucleotide long non-coding RNA is filed under the name Homo sapiens (human). Its description in RNAcentral is "HSALNT0348106". Lineage: Eukaryota; Metazoa; Chordata; Mammalia; Primates; Hominidae. The record is from RNAcentral.